AUGCCAAGAAAAAGGAUCAAUAAGGACUGCAGAAUCUUCUUCAACAACGGUGCUGGCGAGAGGUGGAAGCAGCGGCUGCAGCCCAAGAACUCUCCAGAUGACAAAGAAUCUCCAAGUGACAAGAAAUCCAAGAUGGUUCCCAGAAGACUGAAAGUUCAACCGAAGGUAAAGAACAAGAAGAGAAGUCCGGUGAAGACGGUGAGAAAGACACAAAGGAUGACCAGACAGAGCAAGAACCUAAUAUGCUUCUUGAAUCUGAAGAUGAGUUACUUGUAGAUGAAGAAGCAGCAGCUGCACUGCUAGAAAAUGGCACUUCAGUGGGAGACGAGACCGAUCUUGCUAAUUUAGGUGAUGUGGCUUCUGAUAGGGAAAAGGCACCUUCAGAUGCUGUGAAAAAAGAUGCAAGUGCUUCAGCAGCAGCAAAGAAAAAAACUUAAAAAGUGGACAAGAUCGAGGCACUUGAUCAAGAAAAUGAAGCAGCGUUGGAAAAUGGAAUUAAAAAUGAGGAAAACACAGAACCAGGUGCUGAAUCUUCUGAGAACGCUGAUGAUCCCUACAAAGAUACAAGUGAAAAUGCAGAUGGUCAGAGUGAUGAGAACAAGGAGGACUAUACAAUCCCAGAUAAGUAUAGAAUUGGACCGUAUCAGCCCAAUGUUCCUGUUGGUAUAGACUAUGUGAUACCUAAAACAGGGUUUUACUGUAAGCUGUGUUCACUCUUUUAUACAAAUGAAGAAGUUGCAAAGAAUACUCAUUGCAGCAUCCUUCCUCGUUAUAAGAAAUUAAAGAAAUUUCUGAAUAAAUUGGCAGACAAACGCAGACAGAAGAAGGAAACAAGAUGUGCAAGAAAUUUGAUGAUUUCAAAGAAAAUAAUGGUUCUUUGUUUUUAAUGUUAACCUUUUUAAAAUACAAUACUGAUAGAAGAAAACUAUUGUACUCUUUUGUUUUAGUGGAGAAAUAAUAGAUGUCUGUUCAUGUGUUAAGUGUUAUAGCAAAAAAAAAAUACACAUAUGGUUAAGUUAAUGAAUAUUUUUUGUUUUAUCAGAAUGACAACAGACAGAAGUACUUUGUAGAGAUUGACUUCCUAAGCUACUUAAGACAACUUGCACCAUUAAGAAAAAAAAUGAAGAACCAUUUGGAAAAAUGAAAUUCAGUAGUUCCAAGUUUCAAAGAAAUGUCAACAUUUUAUUCCAUUCAAUAAAGAACAAAACCAAUAGUAUUUUUGUUA
Non-coding RNA from Macaca mulatta (Rhesus monkey), 1225 nucleotides. The record is from RefSeq and is a predicted model, not a curated record. NCBI's taxonomy places the organism in Eukaryota, Metazoa, Chordata, Mammalia, Primates, Cercopithecidae.